This 253-nucleotide ribosomal RNA is filed under the name uncultured bacterium. RNAcentral's name for it is "partial 16S ribosomal RNA". It matches the Rfam family "Bacterial small subunit ribosomal RNA", at positions 524 to 776 of the family's 1533-position model. The record is from RNAcentral.
UACGAAGGGGGCUAGCGUUGUUCGGAAUCACUGGGCGUAAAGGGUGCGCAGGCGGGCAUUUAAGUCAGGGGUGAAAUCCCGAGGCUCAACCUCGGAACGGCCUUUGAUACUGGGGAUCUUGAGUCCGGAAGAGGUGAGUGGAACUGCGAGUGUAGAGGUGAAAUUCGUAGAUAUUCGCAAGAACACCGGUGGCGAAGGCGGCUCACUGGUCCGGAACUGACGCUGAGGCACGAAAGCGUGGGGAGCAAACGGG